This is a long non-coding RNA of Hemibagrus wyckioides, 6106 nucleotides long. RefSeq lists it as uncharacterized. NCBI's taxonomy places the organism in Eukaryota, Metazoa, Chordata, Actinopteri, Siluriformes, Bagridae. The transcript has 2 exons. The record is from RefSeq and is a predicted model, not a curated record.
CAAGCUGCAAUACCCGUUUUCUGGGUAUGAUAUAUAUAUAUAUAUAUAUAGAUCUUUUGAACACUCCUUUGUCGAACAUGUCGCUGAAACACGAAACACGGGCAUUUUGUACAAUACUCUCGCUGCAGUCGAGUUGAUUUACUAGUUUGCAUUCGAAUUUUAUUCAGUGUCGAUUAAGUUUAUAACUAUUUAAAUUGGUGAACUACUUGGUGGGAGUCCCACGGCGUUGUGCGUGUGUGGUCUGUGCAUUUGGUCAGAGCGCAUGGACCAUUUCCCAACCCGGUGAGUAAAUGCACACACGCGGUCCGUUUAGUUUGGUAGUGUAACUGGUGAGCUAUAUUAACACGACGAACGAGAGAGGGCUUUCACACCGAGUAGGGUUUGUACGGGUCUCCAUGAGCCACCGAGAAGGGUGGUUUCCCCCUUUCCGUGGAGAGGAGGAAGAGGGAGGGAAGCAGAGGGGCCGUUGUGUUUUUGUGUUUUGGAAAGCGGCCAGGACGGGGGAGCCCAGGACUGACUGAGGGCGGGAAAAAGGGGGGAUGAAAUACAUGGGAGAGACAGACAUAUACACACAGCACCAUUUCUAGUGUAUACAGGACCAUUUUUCUUGAAGGAACACACACAAAGUAAAAAUAGUAAAAUAUUCCAGCCAUAUAUAAUGUAUUAUAUAGUGUAGGCUGUAUAAAAAUAUAUCUUUAUAACAUAAAUGUAUCUUUUCAGAACCCAAGGGAGAAUAUACAAAAUAAAUUACAGAUUUCUGAGACAUUUUGCAAUCAUUUUGGAGGCAAAUGCAGUAAACAAUAUUAAUAUAAUUAGCCCCCACCUCCCACCCCAAAACUAUUGAUAUCUUUUUAAAUGUCAAUAAGAUUUCAACAUUAGGGCAGAAUGAAACAGGGCAUGACAAACAGUAUAAGAAAUUCCAAUACUGGAAUGAGACCAAAAAUGUAGACUUUUCAUUUCAUAGAUACAAUAGAUAAAAUACAUAAAAUUUUCAUUUAUCAUGCUGUACUUUGACAGGACAAGAGUUAAAAUCUUAGCAUGACAAUGACCACAAGCACAGAGAUUUGAAGACAUGGCCUUUUCUUUCUCAGUGAAUGACCUGCUCCUGACAAAAGUGACAGGCAAAGACAGGAUAUGGUAGAUAAAAAUGAAGACUCUUUCCCCUCCACCUGGUAGCAUGUGACUCAGUUAGUGCACAUAAGCAAAAAUAGGAACAAUACAAAGUGAAAAUUCUGAAUCACAGGCAUUGAAAUGGUGUUCUGCUAAACAAUGAAUAGGAUAAAGUAUUUUUAAAGGACUGACAGAUUUCUUGAGUCAUAUCUACAUAACAUACACUACCAGUCAAAAGUUUGGACACAACUUUUAAUUCAAUGUUUUUUGUUCAGGGAUUUAUUUUCUACAUUCUAGAACAAUACUGGAGAUUUCAAAACUAUGAAAUAACACACAUGGACUUAAGUAAUCCAUAUGUAAUGACAACAAAAAACAACAGCCAGUUGUUAUUUUAAGACACGAAGGUCAGGUGUUCUGGAAUAGUUCUUGCAAGAACAGUAUUGUCAAGUGCAUUUGCAAAACCCAUCAAGCACCAUGAUGAAACUGGCUCACAUGAAGACCAUCCCAGUAAAGCAAGACCAAAACUUACCUCUGCUGCAGAGGAGAAGUUCAUUUAGAGUUACCAGCCUCAGAAAUCACCAAUUAACAGCACCUCAGAUUAGAGCCGUUAUGAAGGCUUUACAGAGCAUCAGUAGCAGACAUAUCUCAAUAUCAACUGUUCAAACGAGAUUAUUGUGUAUUUCGGCCGCCUUCAGCAUUGUUUUACAAUGUAGAAAGAAAUAAACAUCAGGAAAGACCAUGGUAUUAGAAGAUGUGUCCAAACUUUUGACUGGUAGUGUAUGUUACAUUGGAAAUACAUGAUUAAAAAAAGAGAUGUACAUUCAGAACAGUCGACUGACUGUGCUGUAAGUACAUCUCUUUUUUUUCCAUGUAUUUCCAAUGUAACUUGUCUUUGUCUCUGAUUACUCCUUAAACCCAAGACAGGUGCCAGUGCUGAAUUACCCUAAUAUUAGUGCCCUUUUUCUCAUUCAUCCCACAGCAAGGUGAUGAGCAAAUUUCUUCACUCUUUAAGAGAUUGAGCCUGUGGAACUGGAAUCACAGGGAAAAAAAAGAAAUUGGACAGAGUAAAUAGAUAAUUUAACUGGAAGAAUGACUGAGAAAGGGUUAUGAACAUGUAUUGCAAGAUAGAGGAAUGUCUUCCUGUACACAUCAUCUGUGAUGCCAUUUUUCUUAUGCAUUCUUUACUUUUCUUCAUGGAUAAUGGCAGGUUUCUAUUUGUUUUAAAGCUGAUAGCCUACUUCAAGUUGUGUCUUGAUCUCAACUUCGAGACUUUACCCGACAUAAAAUGGAAUUUGAAUAAUCUUAUAGUUGCAUUACAAAUACUAAUAUCAUUAGUAUUAGUAUUAUUAAUAUAUAAAAUAUUACAAUUUUAUCCCUAUUUUAUCCCUAAUGAGCAAGCCUGUGGUGACGGUGGCAAGGAACCAGGCUCAGAAGGGAACCCAUCCUCAUUUGGGUGACACUGAACAGUAAAUGUAAAUCUAACUAAAUAAUGCCCUUUCUACAACAGCAACCAAGGGCUCCUUGCUCCUUGCAGCAACCAAGGGCUCCUUGCUGUCACAAGCUGACAGAUGUAACGGCAGUUUUGUGAUGGUGUGAUAGUCCCCAAGUGGCUCUGUCCACGGCUGUCUCCUGGUCACAGGCUGUCCACACAGAUCCAUCCACAGCAUCAAUGAGCACCACCAAGCGACAAGACACCAACCAGGGGAAGAGCUGGUCACACUGGAAACUCAGAACACUGGGAGCUCAGGAUGUACAGCUCGAGAGAGAGAGAGAUAUUAAGUAUGCUUGUGAUCUUGUGAUGUUUAAAGACAAUGUAGAUUAUGUGUAAAGUGCAGACAGGGACUCCGGCAAGACUAGCUAUAACAGCAUAACUAAAAGGGAGAGCCAGAAAGAGACAGACAUGAAAGCUUCCCGGGACAUAAAGCGUCCAACCACUUCACAGUCAGCAAACCUGAGUGACUUGCGAGGGUGGUAAGGCGACAGCAUCCAAACCUCCCAGUACACCAAACACUCUAUGCCCAUGAACCUCCCAGAUCUGCUCCUUUCCCUAAGAAAAACAUUGAAAGCUUGACUAAACAAAUGUGUCUUCAGCCUAGACUUAAACAUUGAGACUGUGUCUGAAUCCCGAACACUAAUUGGAAGGCUGUUCCAUAACUGUGGGGCUUUAAAAGAAAAAGCUUUGCCCCCUGCUGUAGCCUUUGCUACUUGAGGUACUACCAAAUAACCUGCACCCUUUGAUCGGAAUAGGCGUGGCAGAUCAAGACUAAAAGAUCGCUCAGGUACUGCGGUGCGAGACCAUUUAGUGCUUUAUAGGUCAGUAACAGGAUUUUAUAAUCAAUGCGAAAUUUCACUGGGAGCCAAUGUAGUGUGGCUAAGAUAGGAGUGAUGUGUUCAUAUCUUCUGGUUCUAGUUAGGACUCUAGCUGCUGCAUUCUGGACUAACUGGAGCUUGCCUAUGCUCCUACUGGAACAUCCAGACAGUAAGGCAUUACAAUAAUCCAACCUAGAGGUAACAGAAGCAUGAACAAGUUUUGCUUCAUGAAGUGACAUUAUAUUUCUUAUCUUUCUUUCUUUCUUUCUUUCUUAUCUUUUAUCAAUAUUUCUGAGAUGAAACAAGGCUACCCUAGUGAUAUCUACAUGAGCUUCAAACGAAAGACCAGAGUCAAUAAUCACACCAAGAUCUUUUACUGCUGGACAAGAUGAAACAAAGACCAUCCACCAUUACUCUGUAAUCAGAAAGCUUACUUCUAGCUGCAUGUGGUCCUAGUACAAGCACCUCUGUCUUAUCAGAGUUAAGCAGGAGGAAGUUAAUAAGCAUUCACUGUCUAAUGUCCUUUACACAUUCUUCAAUUAUAAUAAGCUGGUGUCUCUCACCUGACUAGGCUGAAAACAUCGGCAUCAGCAGUGGAAGCUAAUACCAUGUUUACGAAUAAUUGCACCCAGGCUGUUUUGCAAUAUAAUUGCAUAUAUAAGGAGAAAAGCAGUGGGCCUAAGACAGAACCUUGUGGAACACAGAACAUAACUUUGGUAUGCAUAGAGAAGUCACCAUCUAGAUCUAUAAACUGAUAAUGAUCAGUAAAAUAAGACCUGAGCCAGGAGAGGGCUGUUCCUUUAACACCAACAACAUAUUCUAGAUUAUGAAGUAGAAUGGUGUGGUCAAUGGUGUCGGAAGCUUCACUUAGAUCGAGUAACACCAGCAUGGAGAGACAACCCUGACCAGAGGCCAGUAACAGGUCAUUUACCACUUUAACCAGUGCUGUCUCUGUGCUAUGAUGAGGUCAUGAAUGAAUGUUAUUCUUAUGUAGGUGUAACUGCUGUGCUACUGCCUUUUCUAGGAUCUUGGAGAUAAAGGGCAGGUUUGAUAUUGGCCUAUAGUUAGACAGCUGACAGGGAUCGAGGUCUGGGUUUUUAAUCAUGGGUUUGAUACCUGCUAGCUUAAAAGAUUUAGGCACAUAGCCAGUGCUAAGGGAAGAAUUUAUAAUUUUUAGAAGGGGUUCAGUAGCUACUGGUAAUAUCUGUUUAACAAAACACGUAGGCAAGGGAUCUAGUAUGCAGGUUGAAUGUUUUGAAGAUGAAAUUAGUGAAAUUAGAUCAGGCUCUUGAAGUGGAGUGAAGCAUUCUAAGCUCUGAUCAGAAUUAUUAUUAUCGAAAGGGUUAUCUAAUCAAAUAAUUUGGUGUUAAAUUAAUAGUCUGAAUUUUUUGCCUGAUAUUAUCAAUUUUUCCAUUGUAAAAAUACAUUAAGUCAUUGCUGCUGCAUAUAGAGGGUGUGCUUUUCUACAGCUGUUUUAUUCCUAGUUAGUUUUGCUACAGUACUAAAAAAUUUAGGAUUGUUUUUUGUUAUCUUCGAUUAGGGCAGAGAGAUGCGCAGAGAGUACUCUGAGUAUUUUUAGCUCAGAAGGCUUUCCUUCCACGUUAACUGAAAUAUUGCCAAUUUAGUUUGAAGGCAUUUAUGUUCUAAACUCCUGAUCAGUAAUCAGUUAUUUAAUAAUAAGUGCUUAAGAUGAAAGAUCUUAUAUUUAACAGUCCUAGCUUCAGAUCAACUAUGAUCUAGUUUAAUGUUAAUCAGGUUACUAAAGCGAAUUUUCUGAUUGUUAAAACAUUUUUGUUUAGCUCGGGUAACAGACACAGUCUCAAUGUUGUGAACCCUGGGUGACAACUCUUUGCAGCUAGCAGACGGUCGGAUUAGCCUGCUUGUCUGCUCUCUGGCCCUGGCUUUGGAUUGUCACCUAUUAACUAGACCUUCUCUAAGACUAUGUGCUAUGCUACAAGAAAUGAGAGCAGCACCUUCCCGAGUGGGAUGGACACCGUCCCAUCCUAACAGGCCAGCCUUGCCCUCAAACGAGCUCCCACAUUGUUUUUGGAGCACCACCUGGACAUCCAGCAGUUCAGCGACCAUAACCUGCUGUAAGCUAUAUCGCCACAUCACAUUGGGAUACAAUAUUACUCUUAAUAACCUCAGACUGACGAAGGCUUAUAUCGUUAGCACCUACAUGGAAGACUAUCUUCGAGAACCUAUGCUUGCCUAGGAUCCUAAGAUUACCUGCUAUGUUUGGCACCCUGGCUCCUGCAAUACACCUGAUGUGCACUGCUGGAGCCCCAAAAAGCCUAGCUAAUUUCACAUGCCUUAAGAGAGUCUCCUAUAACCAGAGCCCUUUCUUCCUAUAACCAGUUUCUCAGCAGGUGCUUCACUGAGGAGAGCAAACCUGUUGGGCAUGUGGAGGGGAGUGGUGGUCCCGUGGGCAAGCCUUAGUGUUAGCCUUGGCUUUGCGACUAUGCUGCUGAGUCGUCACCCAUUCGCCCCACAAUGAGGGCUCUAAUGCUGGAGUUUGGGGGUUACUACCUCCACCUGAGACAUACAGACUUUACCCUACAGACACUACACUACUCUCGCUAUCACUAACCCUUCCCAGUACUGUAUGAUUACGUACCCUUUAAGUGAAUUUGACCUGGACAAUAAAGAGCUCCGAAGUGGGUUUGCUCUGAAUGCUGUUUGAAGA